UUAAUAUUUAUUUAUUAAUUUUUUUUUUUUAUUUAUUAAUUUAUUAAAAAUAAUUAUAUAAUUAAUUGUUUUAGUAUUUUUUAAUGAAAAAAUAAUUUUAAUUAUAGUUUAAUAGUAUUGUAAAAGAAAAUUUAAAUAAAUUGAAAAAUUUUUAUAUAAAAAGAAAAUUUAAUUUAUUGUACCUUGUGUAUCAGGGUUUAUUAAUUAAAAAUUAUUUAGAUAAUUUUCUCGAUUUUAAAAGAGUUAAUAUAUUAUAAAAGUUAUUGUAGUAAAAUUAUUUUAAAUAAUAUAUUAGAAAUGAAAUGUUAUUCGUUUUUAAAGGUAUCUAGUUCUUUAAGAAAUAAAUUUAAUUUAGAAAUUUAAUAUUAUUUAAUUGAUUAUAUUAAUUAAAUAAUUAUUUAAUUUUAAUAUUUUAUGGGAUAAGCUAUAAAGUAAAAGUUUAAAAAUAAUUAAAUAAUUAUAAUAAAUAUAAAUUUAGAAAUCGUUAUUAUUAAUAAAAAUGUUAUAAUUUAUUUUUAACAAUUAUAUUAUUUAUUUUAAGUUUUAAAAAUUUUAUUAAAGUAUUUAUUUUAAUUUUAUAAAUAAAAUAAUAAUGAUAAAAUUAGUAUAUUAAUUUGUAUAAAUAAUAAAAUUUGAAAAGUUUUUAUAAAGAACUCGGCAAAAAUAAUAUUUGCCUGUUUAACAAAAACAUGUCUUUUUGAUUUUUUUUUAAAGUCUAACCUGCCCACUGAAUUUUUUAAUGGCCGCAGUAUAUUAACUGUGCAAAGGUAGCAUAAUCAUUAGUCUUUUAAUUGAAGGCUGGUAUGAAUGGUUGGACAAGAUAUUAACUGUUUCAUAUAAAUUUAUAAUAGAAUUUUAUUUUUUAGUUAAAAAGCUAAAAUAUAUUUAAAAGACGAGAAGACCCUAUAAAUCUUUAUAUUUAUAUUAUAAUAAUUUUUUGGAAAUAUUUAAUUAUUAUAAUUUAUAAUAUUUUAUUGGGGUGAUAUUAAAAUUUAAUAAACUUUUAAUUAUUUUUUUUUCAUUAAUUUAUGAAUAAUUGAUCCGUUAAGAUAUAAUUUUAGGUGUAGUCGCUUAAAUUUUAAGUCUGUUCGACUUUUAAAUUCUUACAUGAUCUGAGUUCAAACCGGUGUAAGCCAGGUUGGUUUCUAUCUUUAAAAAAUUAAAAUAUUUCAGUACGAAAGGACCUUAUAUUUAGUAAAUUAUUAUUUUUAUAAUGAAUAUAAUUAAUUUAUUU
This 1234-nucleotide ribosomal RNA is filed under the name Zenillia sp. 2 HNL-2023a. RNAcentral's name for it is "16S ribosomal RNA". The record is from RNAcentral. Lineage: Eukaryota; Metazoa; Arthropoda; Insecta; Diptera; Tachinidae.